This 514-nucleotide ribosomal RNA is filed under the name uncultured beta proteobacterium. RNAcentral's name for it is "bacterial SSU rRNA". It matches the Rfam family "Bacterial small subunit ribosomal RNA", at positions 829 to 1343 of the family's 1533-position model. The record is from RNAcentral. Lineage: Bacteria; Pseudomonadati; Pseudomonadota; Betaproteobacteria.
AGGGUUUCUUCUCAGUAACGUAGCUAACGCGUGAAGUUGACCGCCUGGGGAGUACGGCCGCGAGGUUGAAACUCAAAGGAAUUGACGGGGACCCGCACAAGCGGUGGAUGAUGUGGUUUAAUUCGAUGCAACGCGAAAAACCUUACCUACCCUUGACAUGCCAGGAAUCUUNCAGAGAUGUGAGAGUGCUCGAAAGAGAACCUGGACACAGGUGCUGCAUGGCCGUCGUCAGCUCGUGUCGUGAGAUGUUGGGUUAAGUCCCGCAACGAGCGCAACCCUUGUCAUUAGUUGCUACAUUUAGUUGGGCACUCUAAUGAGACUGCCGGUGACAAACCGGAGGAAGGUGGGGAUGACGUCAAGUCCUCAUGGCCCUUAUAGGUGGGGCUACACACGUCAUACAAUGGCCGGUACAAAGGGCUGCCAACCCGCGAGGGGGAGCUAAUCCCAUAAAACCGGUCGUAGUCCGGAUCGCAGUCUGCAACUCGACUGCGUGAGGUCGGAAUCGCUAGAAUCG